ACAAAAUGCUACAAUUAAUUCUUUCAUAAGUUAGUAAAUGCUUUCUAACUCAUGUCUCCACAGUUACUCUUAUUUUACUUAUAAUCAAUUUUCCCCAUGCCUGUUGAAGAGAUACAUUAAAAACUUAAAUCCAUUCAUAUCAUUCCCUUGAUUAAAACCCUUUCUGUACACCUAAAAAUUUCUUAAAGGCCAAGACUCUCCAGAAGGUGCAGCAUGACCCAGACCCUGUCUACGUCAUUGGCUUCCUGUACACACUUUGCUGACAACUUGCUGAGCUCCAGCCCCCUGGACCUGGCUCCCUCUCUCUCCCAUUCCCUAUUCCCCUUCACCUAAACUCACCUCCUCAGGGAAGACUUCUUGACCUUCCAUCUCUGGUCAGGUCUUCCUAAAAGCAGCUUGUACUUCUCCAUCCGUAGCAUGUAUCACAAUUUACAGUAAUGAAUUGUAAAAUUUAUUAUUGAAUAUCUAUUUUUUCCUUGAUAAGAGACCUAUGAGAUCUAGGAUGGUAUUUUUCAUGUUCUCAUUUCCCCAAAGCUUAGAGGAGUGCCAGGUACCUAGUAAUAGUCACUACUUACUGAGUGCUUACUACAUGACAGGAACUGUUUCAAGAACUUACAUGCAUUAACUAAUAUAACCCUUGUCGCAGGCCUAUAGAUUAGGUGCUAUUAUCUUCAUUUAGACACAGGAAGAAGAUCCUGUAGCUUUGAAGAGUGGAGCUGGAAUUGAAAUCCAGACAGACUGAUUUUAAGAUAUCUCUUAAUUACAAUUCCACAUUACCACAUAGUUGGCAUUUAGUAAGUAUUUGUUUGAUGAAAGAUAUUUUCCAAAUAGCUAUGGCCAGACACUAUACAUGAUAUGGGAGACCAAGAAGCAAGAAAACAGAGUCCAACCCUUACUAGGGUGAAGAGACUGUUUUGUCACGGGCCAGAAGUCACUGGGAGCAGACAACUGCAGCUCAAAGUGGUUAAACAAAGAAGAGGAGGAAAAAAGAGGAGAGAAAAAGCUUUGCCGCUGAGUUUUUUUCGUCAGGGAGGAAGAAAAAGAUUUUGUAUUUCAUAACAGAGAGCAUUAAAAUGAUGUAGCCCCACACAAUGAAAACCUUGUGUUUUAUUAAAGUGAAAAGGCUUGCUCAAGGCCUCCAUUACUCAUUUCCGGAUGGAAUGGCAAAACUUCAAGUUUGAAAAGACUCAAGUAGCUACAAUCAAGCUUUCCCUGGUAGCAGCUGAUAACACAGCACUUUCCAGAAAUCCAUUUUGUAGACUGUGCAGAUCAGCUAUUUUCAGGACUCUCAGAGCGAACUCUGCCACAAAAGGCAUAGCAGCACAGAAAACCUGGAGAUACUUAGUGCUGUAAGAAUGUUUUCCACUAUUUUAGGGAGGGAAUUGACGGGGAAUUCAAUGGAUGGGUAAAGAGGUCACUACCAUAAUGCGAAGGCCAGUGUUUCAGUGUCUCCAUCCCACAGCUCGAAAGGACCAAAGCAGAAAGUACUCAAAGGCCUGUUACCCCACUCACCUUCCCCUUCUAUCAGAAGGACAGCGUUCAGAGACUCAGGGAUAGACGUCAGGUAGCAAACAGCAACUCUCAUGCCAGUUCCUCAUUUAAGCUGGAGAACAGGCACCUGGUCUUCAUUAACAUUGCUGCGGUAGUUAAUGCGUUGCAGGUGUGAAAGUGUGUGGCUGAACUCUGACAAAACACCUGUCUUUUGUGGCACCAUUAGAUCUGCCUAGUGUGGGACACGACCCCCUCGGGUGUGCUUUCUUCUGCCUUGAAAGCCACAGUAAGCAUUGUCCUGUAAUUACAAAAUCAGAGUCAUCAUUGCUGGGAAGAAUUCCUUAACAAAUUAUACCUAAUUAGUCUGAAAUUACCUUUAAUUCAUGGUGAAACCAUAGGCUUAACUGUGUUCUAUAACACCUUCCUUUUUAUCUUUAUGCAAAUAUGAUUAUACACUAUCAAACUGGCACCACCAGGCAUAAAAAACAGCUGCAGCUAGUUCUUUGGUUACUAAAUGGGAACUGGACGCAUGCCAUUGAUUAUGUUUUCUGAAAUGCUGCAUCAAAAAAAUAAUAAUAA
Molecule: long non-coding RNA, 2070 nt
Organism: Callithrix jacchus (white-tufted-ear marmoset)
Lineage: Eukaryota; Metazoa; Chordata; Mammalia; Primates; Cebidae
Source: RefSeq, a predicted model, not a curated record